UCUUUAUAGCUUGCUAUGAUAAAAAUUAGUGGCAGACGGGUGAGUAAUGCAUAGGAAUCUACCUAGUAGUAUGGGAUAGCCACUAGAAAUGGUGGGUAAUACUGUAUAAUCCCUGCGGGGGAAAGAUUUAUCGCUAUUAGAUGAGCCUAUGUUAGAUUAGCUAGUUGGUAGGGUAAAGGCCUACCAAGGCAGUGAUCUAUAGCUGGUCUGAGAGGAUGAUCAGCCACACUGGAACUGAGAUACGGUCCAGACUCCUACGGGAGGCAGCAGUGGGGAAUAUUGGACAAUGGGCGCAAGCCUGAUCCAGCUAUGCCGCGUGAGUGAGGAAGGCCU
RNAcentral lists this ribosomal RNA (333 nucleotides) under Anaplasma platys. RNAcentral's name for it is "bacterial SSU rRNA". It matches the Rfam family "Bacterial small subunit ribosomal RNA", at positions 70 to 417 of the family's 1533-position model. The record is from RNAcentral. Lineage: Bacteria; Pseudomonadati; Pseudomonadota; Alphaproteobacteria; Rickettsiales; Anaplasmataceae.